RNAcentral lists this ribosomal RNA (372 nucleotides) under Triticum aestivum (bread wheat). Its description in RNAcentral is "partial small subunit ribosomal RNA". The record is from RNAcentral. Lineage: Eukaryota; Viridiplantae; Streptophyta; Magnoliopsida; Poales; Poaceae.
AUGGAGAUCGUCAGUGGAAGAAAGAACCUUGACACGCCCCAAUCUGAAGAGAGCAUCCAUCUUAUUACCCUACUGGAAGAAAAGGUAAAGAACGGUCAGUUGGUAGAUUUGAUUGACAAGAACAGUAUUGACAUGCAAGCACAAGAGCAAGAUGUAAUUAAGAUGAUGAAGCUAGCAAUGUGGUGUUUGCAGAUUGAUUGGAAAAGAAGGCCUAAAAUGUCGGAGGUAGUGAAGGUCUUGGAAGGUACCAUGGAUGCAGAGAGCAAUAUAGAUCAUAACUUUGUUGCAACAAACCAAGCGAAUUUUGGCAUUGCUGCAAAUGCGACCUCUUCGGCUGCACAUCCAGCCUCACAUCUAUCAGGCCCCAGGUGA